AAUGAAAGCAGGAAAGAACAGUUCGUCGUCGAAUCGGCUGGCCAGCAAAUUCUUGUAGAGCAGUUUCCCAUAGCAUGGGAAAGAACUUAAGUCCACAAAGGACGUGGUGUGAGAUGUUAGUCCGGUGGAGUUCCUGUACGCGAAACCCCGAUCACUUUGGCCUCCCGUAGAAAAGGAAAACAUCUCGAUUGCGGUACGCCGAAAAUGAUGGAAAAGGUAUUCAAGAGCGGCAAGAAAUCAAGCAAAAUCGACAUAAGUUCGAAAUUAUGUUGCAGAGGAAUCCACAGAUCAUGAUGGGAGUUUGUCGACGCUGAAGAAAAGCCACCUCUCUAAUAAAAAUGUGUCCAUCAAAUUUA
Culex quinquefasciatus (southern house mosquito) is the source of this 356-nucleotide long non-coding RNA. RefSeq lists it as uncharacterized. Lineage: Eukaryota; Metazoa; Arthropoda; Insecta; Diptera; Culicidae. The transcript is spliced from 2 exons. The record is from RefSeq and is a predicted model, not a curated record.